Molecule: unclassified non-coding RNA, 352 nt
Filed under: soil metagenome
Description: partial contains 5.8S ribosomal RNA, internal transcribed spacer 2, and large subunit ribosomal RNA
Rfam family: 5.8S ribosomal RNA (bases 1-120)
Source: RNAcentral
GAUGAAGAACGGAGUGAAAUGCGAUAAGUAAUGUGAAUUGCAGAAUUCAGUGAAUCAUCGAAUCUUUGAACGCACAUUGCGCCCGCCAGUAUUCUGGCGGGCAUGCCUGUUCGAGCGUCAUUACAACCCUCAGGCCCCCGGGCCUGGCGUUGGGGAUCGGCGGAGCCCCCCGUGGGCACACGCCGUCCCCCAAAUGCAGUGGCGGUCCCGCCGCAGCUUCCAUCGCGUAGUAGCUAACACCUCGCGACUGGAGAGCGGCGCGGCCACGCCGUAAAACACCCAACUCUUCUGAAGUUGACCUCGAAUCAGGUAGGAAUACCCGCUGAACUUAAGCAUAUCAAUAAGCGGAGGA